Molecule: ribosomal RNA, 440 nt
Filed under: uncultured bacterium
Lineage: Bacteria
Description: partial 16S ribosomal RNA
Rfam family: Bacterial small subunit ribosomal RNA
Source: RNAcentral
CCUACGGGAGGCUGCAGUGGGGAAUAUUGCACAAUGGGCGAAACCCUGAUGCAGCGACGCCGCGUGAAUGAAGAAGUAAUUCGUUAUGUAAAGCUCUAUUAGCAGGGAAGAAAAUGACGGUACUUGCGUAAGAAGCACCCGCUAACUACGUGCCAGCAGCCGCCGUAAUACGGAGGGGGCAAGCGUUAUCCGGAUUUACUGGGUGUAAAGGGAGCGUAGACGGCAGUGCAAGUCUGGAGUGAAAGGCGGGGGCUCAACCCCCGGACUGCUCUGGAAACUCUACGGCUGGAGUGCAGGAGAGGUAAGCGGAAGUCCGGGUGUAGCGGUGAAAUGCGUAGAUAUUAGGAGGAACACCAGUGGCGAAGGCGGCUUACUGGACUGUAACUGACGUUGAGGCGCGAAAGCGUGGGGAGCAAACAGGAUUAGAUACCCUUGUAGUC